UCAUUAUUGAACAAACCUGAUGGGUUGUCGCUGGCUUCUAGGAGCAUGUGCACGCCUGUCAUCUUUAUCCAUCCACCUGUGCACACUUUGUAGUCUUGGAGUAGUGAGUGUAACACAUCGAGGAACAACUUUGGUCCUCGGACAGAGGCCUGCCAUGCGAUAGUGUGGCUGACCUUACUACUUGCGCAAACUCUCUGAGUCUAUGUCUUUCAUAUACCACAAUGAAUUGUAAUAGAAUGUUUUUAUUGGGCCCUAGUGCCUAUAAAAUGAAAUACAACUUUCAGCAACGGAUCUCUUGGCUCUCGCAUCGAUGAAGAACGCAGCGAAAUGCGAUAAGUAAUGUGAAUUGCAGAAUUCAGUGAAUCAUCGAAUCUUUGAACGCACCUUGCGCUCCUUGGUAUUCCGAGGAGCAUGCCUGUUUGAGUGUCAUUUAAUUCUCAACCCCACCAGCUGUUUUUGGCUGGCUUUGGUGGCUUGGACGUGGGGGAUGUUUUUGCGGGCCUCUUUAGAGGUCAGCUCCCCUGAAAUGCAUUAGUGGAGCCGUUUGCGGGACCGUUCACAGGUGUGAUAAUUAUCAUCACCGAAGACAACCGCUCUCAUGUAGUUCUGCUUCUAAUCGUCCUUUUGCAUGGACAACAAUAUUUGAAUGCUUGACCUCCAAUCAGGUAGAACUACCCGCUGAACUUAAGCAUAUCAAUAAGCGGAGGAAAAGAAACUAACAAGGAUUCCCCUAGUAACUGCGAGUGAAGCGGGAAAAGCUCAAAUUUAAAAUCUGGCGGUCUUUGGCCGUCCGAGUUGUAAUCUAGAGAAGCGUCACCCGCGCUGGACCGUGUACAAGUCUCCUGGGAUGGAGCGUCAUAGAGGGUGAGAAUCCCGUCUCUGACACGGACUACCAGGGCUUUGUGGUGCGCUCUCAAAGAGUCGAGUUGUUUGGGAAUGCAGCUCUAAAUGGGUGGUAAAUUCCAUCUAAAGCUAAAUAUUGGCGAGAGACCGAUAGCGAACAAGUACCGUGAGGGAAAGAUGAAAAGAACUUUGGAAAGAGAGUUAAACAGUACGUGAAAUUGCUGAAAGGGAAACGCUUGAAGUCAGUCGCGUUGGCCGGGGAUCAGCCUCGCUCUUGCGUGGUGUAUUUCCUGGUUGACGGGUCAGCAUCAAUUUUGACCGCUGGAAAAAGAUUUAGGGAAUGUGGCAUCUUCGGAUGUGUUAUAGCCCUUUUUCAUAUACGGCGGUUGGGAUUGAGGAACUCAGCACGCCGCAAGGCCGGGUUUCGACCACGUUCGUGCUUAGGAUGCUGGCAUAAUGGCUUUAAUCGACCCGUCUUGAAACACGGACCAAGGAGUCUAACAUGCCUGCGAGUGUUUGGGUGGAAAACCCGAGCGCGUAAUGAAAGUGAAAGUUGAGAUCCCUGUCGCGGGGAGCAUCGACGCCCGGACCAGAACUUUUGGGACGGAUCUGCGGUAGAGCAUGUAUGUUGGGACCCGAAAGAUGGUGAACUAUGCCUGAAUAGGGUGAAGCCAGAGGAAACUCUGGUGGAGGCUCGUAGCGAUUCUGACGUGCAAAUCGAUCGUCAAAUUUGGGUAUAGGGGCGAAAGACUAAUCGAACCAUC
Molecule: ribosomal RNA, 1607 nt
Filed under: Tulostoma subsquamosum
Lineage: Eukaryota; Fungi; Basidiomycota; Agaricomycetes; Agaricales; Agaricaceae
Description: eukaryotic LSU rRNA
Rfam family: Eukaryotic large subunit ribosomal RNA (bases 652-1607)
Source: RNAcentral